Molecule: ribosomal RNA, 466 nt
Filed under: uncultured Syntrophomonas sp.
Lineage: Bacteria; Bacillati; Bacillota; Clostridia; Eubacteriales; Syntrophomonadaceae
Description: bacterial SSU rRNA
Rfam family: Bacterial small subunit ribosomal RNA
Source: RNAcentral
CCUACGGGGGGCUGCAGUGGGGAAUAUUGCGCAAUGGGGGAAACCCUGACGCAGCGACGCCGCGUGAGCGAAGAAGGCCUUAGGGUUGUAAAGCUCUGUUUUAGGGGACGAAUGUCGUGGGGAGUAAUAUGACCUACGAAUGACGGUACCCUAAGAGGAAGCCCCGGCUAACUACGUGCCAGCAGCCGCGGUAAGACGUAGGGGGCGAGCGUUGUCCGGAAUUACUGGGCGUAAAGAGCACGUAGGCGGGAACCUAAGUCAGGUGUGAAAGACCGUGGCUCAACCACGGGGUGGCAUUUGAAACUGGGUUUCUUGAGGGCAGGAGAGGAAAGCAGAAUUCCUGGUGUAGCGGUGAAAUGCGUAGAAAUCAGGAGGAAUACCAGUGGCGAAGGCGGCUUUCUGGACUGACCCUGACGCUGAGGUGCGAAAGCGUGGGUAGCAAACAGGAUUAGAUACCCGUGUAGUC